UGGUAAUGCCGGAUGCUCCAGUUGAUCGCAUGGUCUUCUGGGAAAGCUUUCGCGGUAUGGGAUGGGGUCGCGUCCUAUCAGCUUGACGGCGGGGUAACGGCCCACCGUGGCUUCGACGGGUAGCCGGCCUGAGAGGGCGACCGGCCACAUUGGGACUGAGAUACGGCCCAGACUCCUACGGGAGGCAGCAGUGGGGAAUAUUGCACAAUGGGCGCAAGCCUGAUGCAGCGACGCCGCGUGAGGGAUGGAGGCCUUCGGGUUGUAAACCUCUUUUAUCGGGGAGCAAGCGUGAGUGAGUUUACCCGUUGAAUAAGCACCGGCUAACUACGUGCCAGCAGCCGCGGUAAUACGUAGGGUGCAAGCGUUAUCCGGAAUUAUUGGGCGUAAAGGGCUCGUAGGCGGUUCGUCGCGUCCGGUGUGAAAGUCCAUCGCUUAACGGUGGAUCCGCGCCGGGUACGGGCGGGCUUGAGUGCGGUAGGGGAGACUGGAAUUCCCGGUGUAACGGUGGAAUGUGUAGAUAUCGG
Molecule: ribosomal RNA, 524 nt
Filed under: Bifidobacterium longum subsp. infantis
Lineage: Bacteria; Bacillati; Actinomycetota; Actinomycetes; Bifidobacteriales; Bifidobacteriaceae
Also listed under: 1 other name
Description: bacterial SSU rRNA
Rfam family: Bacterial small subunit ribosomal RNA
Source: RNAcentral